This 455-nucleotide long non-coding RNA is filed under the name Musa acuminata (dwarf banana). RNAcentral's name for it is "long non-coding RNA (MACU_LNC007570)". Lineage: Eukaryota; Viridiplantae; Streptophyta; Magnoliopsida; Zingiberales; Musaceae. The record is from RNAcentral.
CCGGCAGCAUUCAGGAGCUGCUGCAAGAGUUCCUGCAGCAGCAGCAACAGAUGGAGAUGCAGUGGUUCGACAUGAUGGAGCGGAGGGCGCAGGAGCGGCGGAUGUUCGAGCAGGAGUGGCGGCAGUCGAUGGAGAAGCUGGAGAGGGAGCGGCUGAUGCUGGAGCAGGCUUGGAGGGAGAGAGAGGAGCAGAGGAGGAUGAGGGAGGAGAGCCGGGCAGAAAAGAGGGAUGCACUGCUGACCACGCUGCUGAAUAAGUUCAUUGAAGAUGAUCUCUGAUUGGCCCCUUCUUCUUCUUCUUCUUCGUGUCUGUUGCUUGUUCCUUGUUCUUUAUUUACUAUGGUGGGUUAGGUAGAUUUUUGUUCUUCUUGUAAUACUUAUAAAAGGGGAUUAUAUUUGGUGGCGCUGUUGUUGACUAGAAACAGGCUAAUCUUAUAGGUGACCCUCCACAUCAGU